UAAGCUCUGUCAAAUCGAAGCCCCAAGUUCCUACUUGGGAGGAUAGUAGAAAUGAUGGGGCUUA
This 64-nucleotide non-coding RNA is filed under the name unclassified sequences. RNAcentral's name for it is "DUF3800-VIII RNA". It matches the Rfam family "DUF3800-VIII RNA". Rfam says of the family: Bacteroidetes, Cyanobacteria, Firmicutes, Planctomycetes (1 example), Proteobacteria, Tenericutes (1 example). Nearby to DUF3800 The record is from Rfam by way of RNAcentral.